AAGCGUUACGGUAAUCUUGGACCCGGCAUUGAGGCCGCGAUUCAGGAUUACGCAAAGGACGUGCGUUCACGCGCGUUUCCGGGGCCGGAGCACGUCUACGGCAUCAAGCCGAAGGCCUGACACACGCGAAAUAGUUGUUCGACAAGAAGCCCGGCGGAUUGCGCCGGGCUUGAGUUUUUGAACUGGAGAAAACAGAUCGGUGGCGCGGCCCAGGCCGCGCCACUCACCGUUCAGAACUUGUAGUUCACGGCUGCGCGAACGACAUGGAAUCUGUUCUCGUA
RNAcentral lists this unclassified non-coding RNA (281 nucleotides) under Hevea brasiliensis (rubber tree). The record is from RNAcentral. Lineage: Eukaryota; Viridiplantae; Streptophyta; Magnoliopsida; Malpighiales; Euphorbiaceae.